Molecule: non-coding RNA, 11724 nt
Organism: Bactrocera oleae (olive fruit fly)
Lineage: Eukaryota; Metazoa; Arthropoda; Insecta; Diptera; Tephritidae
Source: RefSeq, a predicted model, not a curated record
CGGUAUUAACAGGAAAAUGGUUUUUAGUCCAAAUCUGUACGAAAUAAUGUAGUACGUAAAUUAUAGUCAAGUCCAAAUCUGCGAAGUUGAUUUUUUUUUUAAUUUACGUAGCUUUUGCGAAUUGCCAAUACAUGGGUCACAAGAAAAUCGACUUCAAAUGGAAAUCUAAAAGCAUGUAUUUUCUCACAAAUGAACUGCCUGAAAGGUUUACGAAAAAGGUAUUAACAAAAAAGUGGUAUAUUAGUCCAAAUCUGCGAAGUUGAUCUUAUGUUGUAAUUGACGUAGCUUUCGCUAAUUUGUUACAAGAAAAUCAAAUUUGAACGUACAUCUAAGAAUGUGCAAUUUUUCCCAAAUGAACUAGGUGUAAGUAAUAUAAUAUAUUUGUGAAAACAGUAUUAACAUAAAAAUAUGACACUAUAAAGGUUACAAUCGCAUUGUAUGUAUUUGUGAAAAGGUGGUUUAGGUCAAAUCUCCGAAGUUGAUGUUUGUUUACAAUUCAAGUAGAUUUUACUGUGAAUAUACUUAUACAUGUUACAAUAAAAUUGAUUUUUAACGUAAAUCGUAGAAUGUUCAAGUUUUUCCAAAUGGACUACAUGUACAUAUGUAUUUUUGAAAACCGUUUUAAAAGGAAAAUGGUAUUUUAGUCUAAAUCUGUGAAGAUGAUGGUUUUAUGUACUUGUGGUAUGUUAUGCUAAUUGUGAAUAUAAAAGUUACAAGAAAAUCGACCAGGAACGAAAAUCUAAGAAUGUGUAUUUAUAAGAAUAUUUAAGUUUCACCAAUGCACUACAUGUAUAUAUUUGCGAAACGGGUUCUAACAUGGUAUUUUAGUCCAAAUCUGCGAAGUAGAUUUUGUUUUGCAAUUUACGUAAUCUUUGCUUAUUGUCAGUAUAAAGAUUACAGGAAAAUCGACUUUGUACGUAAACCUAACCCUUAAACGCCUGGUGGUUCCUCCAGGAAGCAAUCGAUAUUUUUGUUAAUGUUCGUGUAUAAAUAUGCAUAUUAAAUAUUACAUCACGUGACAUGUUGCUUUAAUAUAUCCAUUAACUUAUAAUGUAGUUGCCCCUUGUGUGAGCUUUGUUAUUUCCGUUUUGACUUGAGUAAGAGUGCAUCGAAAAAAUUCGGUUAAGCAGAUCUCAAGGUUUUCCCCUAAAAGUGGCCAUGUCCACUGUCUAAUUUUGAAGUCGGUUCCUAUAAAGUGAUCUCAUACCAUCCCUGAAUUAAAAUUUAAUGACUCUGGCGUGUUUAGUGCCUGAUUUAUCGCGCUUUUACAAGUAAUAGUUCCUAACAGUACCAUUAUAUGGGAGUGGGCAGGGUUGUCAGCCCCCUAUUUUCACACUAUAUAUAGAAGCUAAAAACAUUUGUUCUCAGUGAAUUUUGUUAUUGUAGCUUUAGCGGUUUGAGGGUAUGCACAUUAAACCUAAACACAAUUUAAACUGCAGAUGCCCUUCCCUAAUUUGAUCCUGUAUACCAAAUAAGAGUCUUGUAUCUUGUUGUGGAGCUUAGUUAUGGCAAGUUAUUUGUUUUUGAUUAAUGGCGUUUUGUGGGCGUGGCAGUGGUCCGAUUACGCCCAUCUGCAAUACCAACCGUCUUACGGUACCAAAAAACAUAUGUACCAAGUUUCAUAAAGAUAUCUCAAUUUUUAUUCAAGUUACAGCUUGCAGAUACAGACGGACGGACGGACAAACAGUCACCCAGAUUUCAACUCGUCUCUUUAUCCUGAUCCUUUAUAUAUAUAUAAUUCGGUAUAUAUCUCGAUUACUUUUAGGUGGUAGUAUAAAAAAAAAUACUUUUAGAAUGUUGAGUUCUGAACUAUUAAUUUAAAACAAACAUUCAAUCAUAAGUAUGUUGAAAAUAAGAAGCUCAAAGCUGAAAAUAUUAUUAUUUAAGCUCGCUCUAUUCAUUACUUAACGAGUUCUCUGUGUCAAAUUGACAGACAUUACAGAAUUACUUCCGGCUUAAAAGCAAUUGUCGAAUGAAUAUGACUACAAACGGUGUGAACACCACUCGGUCAGUCUAAUGAAAACCAAAAAUUAUAAUCCUUUAAUCUGAUGAUAUUGCCAUUUUUAGUUCUCCAUCUUUUCCACAAAAGCUAAAUUUAUUUUUAUAUAUCAAUGUUUUUGUGUGGUAUAUUUACACAUACAAUAAGUGUCUACCAUAUAUAUAAUAGGUAUAAUAUUAUAUAUGUGAGCAUAAUUUAUGUACACCGAAUGUAUGGAGCACAAUAAUUUAUCAUUUUGUGGCACUAAAAAUAAUAACGAUAUUUCCAAGGCAUGAAUAUUCCAUUUUUCGGAAACCCCGUAAACGCCUUUUACAUUUUUUUUAUUUCUACAUAUCAACAUAUUAUGAAAUUAUAAAUAAAUAUGUACUAUGCAUGCAAAUAUUUAUGUAUAUUUAUUUCCAGUAUUUGUACCCAAAGUCUAAAACCUUGACAGUGUCAUAACCCUAAUCAUCAAAAAUUUAUUUGUGAUAAAACACAAAAACAUCGUAUGUAUAUCGAACUUUAAAUUCUUAUAUAAAUUGAGAACUGUCUUUUCAGAAUAGGAUGUUUAUGGUACAUUUUUAUUUAUAUUUGUAUGGAUAUCUUUACCCAUAACAUAAAAGAAUAUUUACAAAUUAAUUAUCUUUAGUGCGUCUUUAGCCUUUUUAAAACGCGAUCUUUACUUUUACACAUUGUUUUAUUUCUUAUAACUUAUUUACUGAGGCUCUCGGCUUAAAUUGAUUUUUUUUAUAAUGUUGCAUCUGCAGCCACACAAAAACGCCAAAUGUUAAGCUCCCAGCUUAACGUCUACGGUUAGAGCUUUUACUCAAAAUGGGGAGUGCAAUAACCAACAUACAAGAAACAGUUUGGAGAAGAAUGGCAUUGUCGGAACUUGAUAUUGGGCAAAUUGGGAUUUAAGUGAAUUUUUAUUUUAUUAUUUGUUGUGAUGAAUAAACUUUUCUUUCUUUAUUUCUUUCUUCUUUAAAAUAUUAUGUAUAUUGCAAAGAUGCAGGGGAUAUUUACAAGACUAAAGGGAUAUUUACAAUAUACUAAAAAUCUAAGUAAUUUUACAAAAAAGUACACAAAAAGUGUGGUUAUUAUUAAAGUUUCGUGUCACAAGGGGAAAUUUUGUUCUUUUAUAAUUAUGUAGCUCUAAAUGACUAAGUUCUAUUUUUGUUAAAAUGUGUAAUUAGAACAAUGACACAGUUCCUUUAUAACGUAGUCCGGUCAAUUUAGACAUUCAAAGGCCGAAAAAUAGUUUCCACAAUUUCGAGCGAAACGUUGGUCCUUUUUUCCGAAGAGCUAUUGUUUCUGAGAUAUAACGAUCAUUAUAUUAUGCAUACCACCUAAGACGUAGUGGACUAGCGCGGUUUUUUGCAGCUUGUUAAAUAUGUAUGUACCUUUCUCCAAGUUUUCUGGUACAUUUUACCGGAAUAUUAAUUAAGCUUACUUUCUGAAGCUCUAUUAUUUGUCAAUAUGAGCAACAAGUUGUCAUCUCAACCAAAUUUCCGAAGUUUGACGUUGCGCUAGGGAAACAACGUACAGAAUACUCGGGUAAGGCUCCAACAUAUUGAAACUAUCAACUGAAGACAUAUUUUGUAACUAUUGUUUAUCAUGCGAUUCUUAGUCGUUUAGUACAUCGCUCCGAUUAAUCAACAAAACACAUUGGUAAAAAAAUUUCGUCGACAAGGAAGCAUUUUGUGUUGGUGAAGUGAUAUGAAAAACAAUGUGUUACUCGGUCGUAACGUAUUGUGUUCAAAAAACGUAAAAUGUAUACUCGAAGGUGAUUUGCUCCGAAAAGAAAUUAUACGUGUGUCUAAUUCUCCUUACGCAUUCCCAAUAGUAUUAGUGGAGAAUAAAAAUAAUGAGCAUCGUCUGUGCGUGGACUAUCGACAGUGAAAUCGUGUCACAAUGAAAGAACCUUUUCCUAUGCCUAUCAUAGACGAAUUAUUCGCCGCGCUCGCAGGAAACGUUUAUUUUACUACCCUUGAUUUGAACAUUGGUUAUCACUAAAUUGAGAUUUGUGAGAGUGCGAAAAAAUAUACAGCAUUUAUAACGAACAGUGGACACUACGAAUAUAAUCGCAUGCCGUUCGGUUUGGUUAACGCGUCGACUGUUUUUCAAACCAUGAUAAAUAAACUGUGUGAAAACGUUGACGACGUAAUUAUCCCGAGUGUAACAAUCAACGACGGUAUCGAAACGCUAAAUAAGUUUUUGGACCAACUUGAAAAGAGCGGAUUAACGUUAAGACGAAAAAAAUACAAUUUUCUCUCAACUCAGAUAAGUUUCUUGGGACACAUUCUCCCAAAAGACGGCAUAAGACCGGGUAAGUCUAAAAUCAAUUCCAUUAAUUUUAUGAACAAACCUACGAACAGAACCGAAGUAAGAAGAUUCCUAGGAUUAACCGGAUUUCUCCGGAAAUUUGUUAAAAACUACGCAAUUAUUGCCCGACCAUUGACGAGGCUUACGACCAAAGCUGCUACCAGAAAUUUUGUAUGGGGUGCAGUAGAAGACAACGCAUUCGAUGAACUUGUAGAUGCACUCACAAAAGAGCCGGGGCUUGUGUUAUAUGACUUCAAAGCGUUACAUCAAGUUCAUACUGACGCGAGUAGCAUUGGUCUAGCAGCAGUAUUGCUACAAUCUGUUGACGAAGGUAAAUCCUGGAACGCAGUCAUGUACUUCAGUCGACGAUGUACCAACAUAGAAACACGUUACCACAGCUAAGAACUCGAGGUCCUUGCCGUGGUGAAAUCUUUAAAGCGAUUCCGUAUAUAUUGUAAUAUUACUCGGAAAACCGUUUAAAGUGGGGACGGACUGCGCCGCCAUUUCGAGUGUAAAAACGAAAACAGAGCUUAUACCACGUAUUUCUCGAUGGUGGAUGCAACUUAAUGAGUUUAACUUUGAAUGCGUGCAUAAACCAGGUGCGCGAAUACAGCAUGUGGAUGUCAUAAGUCGAUCCCCUGCUGAUGACAACGACAUAAAUGAACAUAAGCAAGUCAUGAAUAUCUCCGACACAAACGACGAUUGGUUACUAACAAUGCAGCUACAAGAUAAGAAUAUCUGCGAAAUUGUUAACGUCCUUAAGGCGAUACGAAAGUCAGAUCAUGUAACGCAUUGAAAAACGAAUAAUAAUAAUAUAUACGAUUUUUUGUUGUACCAAAAGUGGUGAGAUGGCGAGUGACUAAGUACUGCCACGAUGGUAUGGGUCAUUUCAGCAAAGAAAAACCUGUUAAACUAAUCUAUGAGGCAUUUUGGUUUCCGAAAGUAUGAGAAUACGUGAAAGAAUAUAUUGCAGUGUGCAUAGAAUCUUGCUACAACAAGGCAAUCGGAGGUAAACCUGAAGGUAAUCUCUACAUAGACGCAGUAGAUCCUAUUCCUUUCCGCACGUUACAUACCGACUAUUUAGGCCCAUUUGUUAGAAGUAAAACAGGAUAUACGCAUACUGUCGCAGUAAGUGACGUUUUUACGAAAUAUUUUAUUUCAAACCAGUGCGCAACACUAAAACGCAACCAGUGUUGCAAGUGUUCAACGAACUGUGUAGCUAUUUCGGUCUACCAACGAGAAUCACAAGCGAUCGAGGUACCGCGUAUACGGCUAAGCUGUUUACUGAUUUCUGCAAUACAAAUGACAUUCAGCAUAUAAAACCUGCUUUUAGAACGCCGAAGGCGAAUGGUCAAGUAAAGAGGGUUAACCAGACUAUCUUGAACUUCCUCCGAACAUCUGGUUCCAAUGCAAAAGAGUGGGACACAAAACGACGAAAUCUGCAAAGGAGCGUACUUGACACUAGUAGCAAAAGCUACCAAAGUACAUGAAACCAUCAACUUAACAGAUUUGGACUAAAAUACCAUUUUUGUGUUAAAAACCUUUUUACAAAUCCACUCAUGUAAAACAUUUGGAAAAACUUGAGCAUUCUUAGAUUUACGUCGAAAGUCUACUUUCUUGUAACCUGUACUUGUAUAUUCAUAUUGAGCAAAAGCUAUGUCAAUUGCAAAAUCACAUCAAUAUCGCAUAUUUGAACUAACAGAGACAUCCUUAGAUUUAUAUUUAUUUAAAGUCGAUUUUCUUUUAACCUUUGUAUUUACAAUAAGCAAAAACUACCACAAAUACAUGAAUCCAUUAACUUCACAGAUUUGGACUAAAACUCCAUUUUCGUGUUAAAACCUUUUUCACAAAUACAUACUAUUACAUAAGUACAUACAUACUACUAAGUUUUACGUUCAUGCAAAUUAAUUUUCUUGUAUCCUAAAUAUUCACAAUUAGUCAAUUGCAAAAUCACAUCAACUUCGCAGAUUUGGGCUAAAAUACCAUUUUCAUAUCAAUAUCGUGUUCACAAAUACAUAUAUUUAGUGCAUUUUGGAAAACUCGAACUUCCUUAGAUUUAUAUUCAGAAUCGAAUUUCUUUUAACAUGUGUAUUCACAAUAAGCAAAAGCUACCACAAAUACAUGAAACCAGAUUUGGACUAAUAUACCAUUUUCUGUGUUAAAACCUUUUUCACAAAUGCACAUGCACGUAGUGCACAUUGAAGUGGAAAUAGCCAUUGAAGUUUUUAGAUUAAUUUCAAGUGUAUUGUGUGAUAGAUAACUUUUGGAAAAAUAAGUUUCCAAGGUCGAUUUUAUGUAGUUGGUUGAAUCGACAAUAUUAGCAACAACGAAAUAGGAAGCGCCGAUAACUUUCCGAUAUCAAGUUACGAACAAAUAUGUAACAGAAGAUAAGAUUUCACAAUGGAGCAUUAGUUCGAGACUUCAUCGGUGUAUCGUGGUCACAUAUGACGACAAAUUCAAAGGGGCCGAUUUCAUUCGAUUAUUCAAUCAAGGAAGAAUUAAACCAAAACCAGAAACAAAUCAUACGAUUAUGCACGAGAAGGAAUUAUAAAUUUUAAUUGUUUUUAAAUUUAUUUUUAAAAAGUGUUUUAUACAACUUUCUUUAGAUUUUGUUCACAUUUUGUUUCAAUUCUUCAAUAAAAUUUUAAUACUACAAGUAUUAACAUUGUUAAUGAAUUUUAUUUUCUAUUGUUCGAAUUUCGACCACUGGAUUCAAUUGAUUAGUAAACUGAUAAUAGAUAGAUUAGUUAGUAUGGAAAUCUAGAAAACAGUUUUGCUGUGACGAUAAACAAUGGGAUAUACCACACUUUGAUUUUCCAUCAUUUAUAAAUGUCUAAUAUUGUCAUAAUAUCACGCGGCGGUAGCGAGGUACUGUUAGGAUGAGAUCGUUAUUCAGAAAUCUGAGCAAUCAUUUUUAAGUGGAUAGUCUUUGUUCCCCGAGUAAAUUUCAAAACAGUAACAAAAGCCUAAAUCAUCACACAUCAAGAAAAAUGUGUAGCCCCAAGUAUGUGGCUUGUCAAGCAUAUACUGUUUGAAAAAAAUUUUAUUUUUUUUGUUAAACAAAUUUGCUCGUCAAUGCAAAGUCGUUCUAUUUUUGGAACCCUAUUGAAUGUUUUGUUAAGUGCUUCAAUCAAUGGUCGUAUUUUAAACAGACGAUUAACGAUAUUUGCUGAUAAGGAUUCAUGCGAUAAUUGAGUUGUUUUAGUUGGUUGCUCGUCUUCCUGUUGCUCGAUAUUACGACAAACGAGGCGUUUCGUUAUUGUUGAUAUGCAAAAAUUGUCGAAUUUUCUCAUGACAGUUUCAUGUCAUAGCUGCCAUGAUAUGAGGGUCGUUUAAUUUCAUCAGGUGUGGUGUUAAGAGGGUUCAAAAUAUCUUGAUGUAUAGAAUACAAAUUGCUCUGUUCUACGAUAUUUGAAACAUCAUCAUCUAAUACAAAAUAUGAAAAGAAUUGAUAUGCUACGGUGGUCGCUACCUCGAAACUGAAUCCAACUUUCUUUAAAUUACAUGCUGCAGAGCUUCCAAAGUAGUUUUUUAAACUCUAUAGAAUCCUUAUCUAUCGUUGUGCGCGAGAAAAAUAUAGCAUAUUGUGGCCAUCGUGUUCUAUCUGAUCCCUAAUUAUGUUGAAUCGCCGAAAUAGUGACAUUUGUAUCAGCGAUGCUAUCGUCGUCAGAAAAACCAGUUUCCCAGUCACUAUCAAAAUCACUAACGAACUUUUCGAGAUCUUCCUGAUUAAUUAAACUAUAACUUCUCUAUGUCAUUCUAUAUUGGUAUAGACAAAUUUAUGGGUUUUUACACUUUUACUUAUCACUUUAUUAUAAUUUUCCAUAAGUAUAUAUUAUAUUAUAAUUUUGCACAAGUAACAAAAUAUAUAUAAGCACCUGAUGGUUUCUCAAGGGACCAUUUAAGUUUUAUUUCAUAAAAUUUUUAAUUCAAUUUGUAAAAUUUUUAUCAAAACUUUCAUAAAAUUAAAUUGUAAUAACUAUGAAGAUUCCAAAUUUUCAGCGCUAAUCAAUUAGUAUUACGUUCGCACUAGUCACUUUAAAGUACACAGUAUUCACCUAACGGUUGUUUGUAUCACCCAAAACUAAUCGAGUUAGAUAUAGCGUUAUAUAUAUAAAUGAUCCGGUUGACUGUUUGUCCGUCCGUCUGUGCAAGUAAAUUGUCAUAACUAAGCUCCACAAUAAGAUACAAGAUUUAGGUAUAAUGUGCAUACCCCCAAACCGCUAAAGCUAGUUUAGAAAGUUGCGUUCAAAAUGAUAUCAUAAAUUUUCAAUUGUACGUUUAGUUUUUCGAAACAAUCAUAAAAACCACCAGUGAAUCCGUUUAAUUUGACAUAACAUUUUUUACGAUAUGCUUUAUCAAAUUUAUUUGCAAAUUUUUCACUAACAAGUGACCGCGCACUACCGGUAUCAAUAAAUGCUUCAGCUUUUUCAUCACACACUGUAAUUUGUUUCACUGUAAAUUUUUCAGUUACGUCAUAGAUUUCGUUGCAAUUUGGUUGUGUUUGUACGUUUCAUUUACACUCGUUUGGCUUAUGUCCAGUUUUACCGCAUUUUUCACAUCUUACUUUACGUUGUGGCUCACUACAAUUUCUUGAUAUGUAGCCAGGCUUAUUGCAAUUGAAACGUAUAUAAUCGUUUUUAGGUUUAUUUACGUUUUUCACUUCAAUGCUUUCUAAUUUCGGCACUAAUUGUGCAGGCUUUGUUAUCGCACUUGUUUUUAAUAUAUUAUUUGCACAAUAGUUUCGUAUGGCAUUCAAAAGUUCAUUAGAGUUUGAAUACCCAUUUACCGACAACGCAUGUUUCAUAUCUGCAUCGUUCAAUCCAUUAAUUAUAUACAUAUGUAAUUAAAUAUUUAUCAUCCACCGCACUUUGCCUAACAAUUGAUAAUAUUUUAUAGUAAAACAUUUCAGGCGUUUCACUUGCUAACCGGCACAUAUUCAUGAGUGUCAUGUGAAUGGCUGCAAAAUUCACCUCAGAGGGGAAUUCAUAAAGGAAGUCGUCGACAAAUACUGACCAAUUGCUAUAAACCGUGAGCAUGGAAUCGAGCCAUAAGUUCGCAACUCCUCUCAGAUUUGCUUGUACCGCGAACAAAAGUGUUUUCUCGUCCCAAUUGUACGCUUGUUUCAGUUGAUCCACUCUUCCGACGAACUGUAUAGAUGUCAACCGUUUAUCUUUCGAGUCAAACGUUGGCAUAAUUGAAAUUAUGUCAUGCACAUUCGCGACGUUGUUAUACGGACUGCUGUUCUGUUCCCGAUGAACCGACGAGGUUGGUACGUGUUGUAACGGUUGACAUAUAUACAUUGGCAUAGUGCCACCGUUGUUGCAAAUUGUUGAAUUCAUAUUUCGUUGAUAUUCGUUGUUAGCUUCGGAGAAAUUAACUCGUCGUGUUGAAUGCUGUACUGUUUGUGCAGAACAUGAAGCUAAAUUUGUUGACAGCGGUGCUGCAUGCGCAGAACAUAAAGCUAAAUUCGUUUGUACUGCAUGUGUAGGUGCCGUAGCGUUUGAAAACGUGUCUGUAUAUGCAAAAUCAUGUACAAUUGGGCGUUGAAUAUGCGAAUAUUCAUCACUACGUGGGAAAAUAGGAGCACAGCCUAACGUUGACUGUACUUUGAUCGUAUGCAAAUAUGAUGUAGCAUUUGUUUCAAGUUCUGUGCUAACGUUAGCAGAGCUUCAGCCGUAUUUAUUUGAACACACGUCGCAUUCGUGUUGGCUGCUGCCGCCCAUUCAUAAGCGUUGUAUGAUUGACAUGCAGCCCCUAUGUCGUACAUCUCCCGUUCAUUUUCGUAUAGUCUUUCUAUCAGGACUGGUUUGGUUCCCGUUUCCGACAAACCAAGUCCUCGUAACACUUCACGCAAUUUCGUCACAGUCAUCGACCUGUAUCUCACCAUUUUUAGAUUUAACGUACGGCGCGAAGAUUAAUUCACUUCUGAAAUUGUUAAUGUACCGAAAAUACUUACGCUACUUUUGUUCUUUUUGUUUUUUAAUAAUUUUGAAAUACAAAUCUGAAUGGCGACUUGCUAAAACACUUCAUUUAUUGUAAAAAUUUCAUCUUAAAAAGCGUAUUACAAAAAAUAUAAGAAUAAACCGUCCAUCUUGUCCGAAAUACAAAAUGGAACUGCCACUAUUUAUUACAAUUAAAAAUCAUUGUCGCGUCACUCGUCAGUCUGUCAGGGUUGCCUUUGUUCGUAGUCUGAUUUUACGCUUGACACUAGUGAAUAGAAAGGUAAAAUCUGCCAUUUUGGUGUGCUUUUACAAUUGACGUAGCUUGUGCCAAUUGUGAGUAUACAGGUUCCAAGAAAAUAAACUUUGAACGUAAAUCUAAGAAUGUUCAAGUUUUCUUUCCAAUAUGCACUAAAUGUAUGUAUUUAAUGUAUGUACAAGUAUGAACACGGUAUUAACAUGAAAAUGGAAUUUUAGAUCAAAUCUGCGAUGUUGAUGUGAUUUUGCAAUUAACUUGAGUUUGUGUUAAUUGUAAAUAUACAGGUUACAAGAAAAAAUACUUUGAACGUAAAUCUUAGAAUGUUCGAGUUUUUCAAAAUGCACUACAUGCAGGCAUUUGUGAAAAACAUUUCAACACGAAAAUGGUUUUUAGUCCAAAUCUGUGAAGUUGAUGGAUGUAUUUUAAUAAUAAAUAUAUAAGUAGGUUAAGAGAUAAUCGACACUGAUUAUAAAUCUAAAAAUAUUCAAGUUUUCCCAAAUGCACUAAAUGUAUGUAUCUGUGAACACGGCAUUAACAUGAAAAUUUUGUUUUAUUCCAAAUCUGCGAUGUUGAUGCGAUUUUGCCCUAUGUAUGUACUUGUAAGAAAGGUUUUAACACGAAAACGUUAUUUCAGUCCAGAUCUGUGAAGUUGAUGAGGUUUCAUGUAUUUGUGGUAGCUUUUGCUACUAGUGAAUCAACAAGUAAUGGUUAAAAGAAAAUUGACUCUGAAAAUAAUUCUAAGAAUACUUAAGUUUUUCCAAAUGCGCUAAUUGUAUGUAUCUGCGAACAUGGUAUUAACAUGAAAAUGGAAUUUUAGUCCAAAUCUGCGAUGCUGAUGUGAUUUUGCAAUUGACAUAGCUUUAGCUCAUUGUGAUUUUAUUAGUUUCAAGAAAAUAUACUUUGUACGUUAAUAUAAGAAUGUUCAAGUUUUCCCAAAUGCUCUACUUGUAUGUAUAUGUGAAAAAAGUUUUAAAACGAAAAUGGUACUUUAGUCCUAAUCUGCGAUGUUGACGUGAUUUUGCAAUUGACGUAGCUUUUGCUCAUUGUGAAUAUACAGGAUACAAGAAAAGAGAAGUGUAUGUAUUUGUGAAAAAGGUUUUGACACGAAAAUGGUACUUAAGUCCAAAUCUGUAAAGUUAAUGGAUUCAUGUAUUUGUGGCAGCUUUUGCUAAUAAAGAAUGUUGUUGGGUCACCGAUUGAGAACCAAUGCAUUCUACGGUCAU